GUGGGGAAUAUUGGACAAUGGGGGAAACCCUGAUCCAGCAAUGCCGCGUGAGUGAUGAAGGCCUUCGGGUUGUAAAGCUCUUUUAUCAGGGAAGAUGAUGACGGUACCUGAGGAAUAAGCUCCGGCUAACUUCGUGCCAGCAGCCGCGGUAAUACGAAGGGAGCUAGCGUUGUUCGGAAUUACUGGGCGUAAAGGGCGCGUAGGCGGCCUUGUAAGUUAGAUGUGAAAGCCCCGGGCUUAACCUGUGAACUGCAUUUAAGACUGCAAAGCUAGAGGACGAGAGAGGAAAGUGGAAUUAUGAGUGUAGAGGUGAAAUUCGUAGAUAUUCAUAAGAACACCAGUGGCGAAGGCGACUUUCUGGCUCGUAUCUGACGCUAAGGCGCGAAAGCGUGGAGAGCAAACAGGAUUAGAAACCCGGGUAGUCC
This 425-nucleotide ribosomal RNA is filed under the name uncultured bacterium. Its description in RNAcentral is "partial 16S ribosomal RNA". It matches the Rfam family "Bacterial small subunit ribosomal RNA", at positions 354 to 796 of the family's 1533-position model. The record is from RNAcentral.